This is a long non-coding RNA of Neofelis nebulosa (Clouded leopard), 824 nucleotides long. RefSeq lists it as uncharacterized. The record is from RefSeq and is a predicted model, not a curated record. The transcript is spliced from 2 exons. Lineage: Eukaryota; Metazoa; Chordata; Mammalia; Carnivora; Felidae.
UUGAAACUUAAAGGGGGCCCCAACACAGCAGCACCGGGGCUGAGCUGAGGGGCUGAAGGCACCCACCGCCUCUCGGAAGUGUCAGCCCCCUGAGAGCAGGCAUGUCCCCUGAGCCCCUCUGAGAUCCUGGGGCCGGUUGGCCGCCACUAAUGGCUCCCUGGGAGGCCUCUGUCCAGGUCACAGCACUUCAGUGGUGCUGAGGGAGAGGAGGGGGUCUAAGCCCAGGCUUCCUGUUUGCCGAUAUUGUCCGGCACAGACCUAGGCCCCCUUGUCUGGAGCAACAGGACCAAUGGGGACAGGGCGGCGGUCCUCGACCUGCAGGUUGUGUGUUUGCCUGUGUGUGUCCAUCUAUCUAUCUACCUAUACCUGGGGGUGUUUGUAACACAUACACUGUACGUGGAUUAUCCGUGUCUGCGUUUGUCUGGCUGUGCACACUCACAUCUGCAGCCCACUCCUGCCUCCCGCCUCCACGUCAGUGUCUGUCCCUGUGCUUCUCUGCAUGUCCACGCGCUUGUGCUCUGAUUGUGUCAAAUGUCUGCAGCUGCAGGCAAGGGGACAUAGAAGGGGAUCCGGAAGACCAAAGAAAGAAGGAGGACCCCAGAGGGGCUGGACACUUCUUCAUUCGUGAGAACUCCGGGCCAAAGAGUCAGGUUUUCUCAGAGCCUAAGCUCAUCAAGAUGCCCACGUGCCUUCUUGGGGGCCCCAGCGCAGAGCGGGGGCUCCAGUUGUUAGGGCGGUCAUCUCCAAUUCGCCCAGGACCAUCUCAGCGUGUGAUGUCCGUGUGUGAUUCUCAAAAGUUUACAUGAUAAACCAGAUUCCCUUAA